RNAcentral lists this ribosomal RNA (511 nucleotides) under uncultured Saccharomyces. Its description in RNAcentral is "eukaryotic LSU rRNA". It matches the Rfam family "Eukaryotic large subunit ribosomal RNA", at positions 62 to 578 of the family's 3401-position model. Lineage: Eukaryota; Fungi; Ascomycota; Saccharomycetes; Saccharomycetales; Saccharomycetaceae. The record is from RNAcentral.
AAACCAACCGGGAUUGCCUUAGUAACGGCGAGUGAAGCGGCAAAAGCUCAAAUUUGAAAUCUGGUACCUUCGGUGCCCGAGUUGUAAUUUGGAGAGGGCAACUUUGGGGCCGUUCCUUGUCUAUGUUCCUUGGAACAGGACGUCAUAGAGGGUGAGAAUCCCGUGUGGCGAGGAGUGCGGUUCUUUGUAAAGUGCCUUCGAAGAGUCGAGUUGUUUGGGAAUGCAGCUCUAAGUGGGUGGUAAAUUCCAUCUAAAGCUAAAUAUUGGCGAGAGACCGAUAGCGAACAAGUACAGUGAUGGAAAGAUGAAAAGAACUUUGAAAAGAGAGUGAAAAAGUACGUGAAAUUGUUGAAAGGGAAGGGCAUUUGAUCAGACAUGGUGUUUUGUGCCCUCUGCUCCUUGUGGGUAGGGAAUCUCGCAUUUCACUGGGCCAGCAUCAGUUUUGUGGCAGGAUAAAUCCAUAGGAAUGUAGCUUGCCUCGGUAAGUAUUAUAGCCUGUGGGAAUACUGCC